Molecule: long non-coding RNA, 593 nt
Organism: Lagopus leucura (white-tailed ptarmigan)
Lineage: Eukaryota; Metazoa; Chordata; Aves; Galliformes; Phasianidae
Exons: 3
Source: RefSeq, a predicted model, not a curated record
GAAUCAAAGCUCUGUCCCGGUAGGAAUAAGAUUAGAGCAUCUUCCUUCCUUGUUUCUGCCAUGUUGUUGGUGAUGACGAACAAGAUGCUUUACUUGGCACCAAUAAUUCUGAAUAAUCUUUAAUUUCACAACAGGUAUGGGGACACACAGUGGAGGAAAAAGCUGGGGAGGAAAAUUGAGUGCUCUGUUGCUACAUGUCCCUUCCAGCAUGUGACAGAGCUGCAUGACACAAAUGGCUUCAAGAAACAUCUCAUCUCCUCAUUGUGUUGCUUCCUGUUGGAAUCCUAACUGUGCCCUGCUGACCUUUCAUGGAGCAGCUUAUUUAGAAUGAGCUUUAAAAAGGACGGCUGAAAAUCAACUUUUGUGACAGAUUAUUUUUAAAAGAUUUCUGAAAGCAUCACUUCUAGAAGUACCUCCCCUCGGAAGAUGGACUGUGCAGCAGUGCAUUCUUAAAUCGGAGAGGAAAAUAAAUUGUGCUUCAUGGAUAAGCGUGAGGACUGUCCAUGGGAAUGAUAUCUUUUUGCUUUAUUUCUAAAGCUCCGAAGGAAGUGAAUUACAGAAUUAGAGUUCAUUUUACAGUUUAUUAAAAGUGG